AAGAGAGAGUCAAAAGACCGUGAAACCGCUCAGAGUAUAAGCCAAUGGAGCUUGGAAGGCUUCCGCAGUCGGGUCCAUCAUACGUGGUGUUCUUAAGACCUUGAGUAAAGCUCGUCAGGCGUAGCAUUGAGUUUGCCAGGUUUAGCUGUCGUGCGGGGGCUUAGCGAGGGGGGACUUUGCUUCGGCUUAGCUAUCUCCCGAGCGGCCCUUUGGAAUGGACGUUCAGAGGCUCUUGGUCUAAUGCGGUUAUGCCCACCACAGCACGUUGUGAGGUCACCCACAGGCUCAAACUGCCGAUCGCGCAUCCAGGACGAUGGCAACGAUGCGUUGUUGAUGAUGGCUCGAAAGAGACUUGACUCAGACGCGUGUCUAGUCCUGGGUCGGGCGGCGACCGAGAUAAACCUGGUAUGAUCCUCUUGCGACGAGCUGCUUUCUGGCCAGACCGACGUCCGGGCGCUUCCACUGUGCCGGAAGUGUCUAUCCCAGGCGGUCUUGACCCAGCUGCAUUAUGCAAGGUCUUCUCAGCCGGGCGUUGGUCUGAGUGGUGUUAAGUCCAGCACCAUCGGUCACGUCUCGAAACACGGGCCAAGGAGUAUAGCAUGUGUGCAAGUCUAAGGGUCUCACAAAACCCGAAGGCGAAGUGAAAGCAAGACUGUGGCGGGNGAGCUACGGCAAACCCGCCGGCCUGGUGGCGCGUGCGUCGCCGGCUUAAACAGAGCUGAUCCUGUUUUCUCGGUUAAUUCUUGGUGCAGGCGCAAGCUCCGGGCUCACGUACAACACUGGUCACGCCUCGUGUGUGGCUGUGUUGUGAGCACCG
This 817-nucleotide ribosomal RNA is filed under the name Niphargus sphagnicolus. RNAcentral describes it as "partial 28S ribosomal RNA". Lineage: Eukaryota; Metazoa; Arthropoda; Malacostraca; Amphipoda; Niphargidae. The record is from RNAcentral.